Molecule: ribosomal RNA, 253 nt
Filed under: uncultured bacterium
Lineage: Bacteria
Description: partial 16S ribosomal RNA
Rfam family: Bacterial small subunit ribosomal RNA
Source: RNAcentral
UACAGAGACUGCAAGCGUUAUUCGGAUUCACUGGGCGUAAAGGGUGCGCAGGCGGCCGUGUGUGUCAGGUGUGAAAGCCCGGAGCUUAACUCCGGAAUUGCGCCUGAAACUACAUGGCUAGAGCAUUGGAGAGGGUAGCGGAAUUCACGGUGUAGCAGUGAAAUGCGUAGAGAUCGGGAGGAACAUCAGUUGCGAAGGCGGCUCUCUGGACCAGCACUGACACUGAGGCACGAAAGCGUGGGGAGCAAACAGG